GACCGCGCUGCGUGACCGGGAUCCGUAACCAAACAGAGGCCAGGGCAGGCACGCGGGGGCCGGCUCUCCUGUCUGUGAGGGUUAUGGCAGGUGUCCCUGGCUACGGCCGGUGACCUCUCAUGCUCAGCUUGGGCCUCGGGGGCUGGGGGCGCUCUGGGGUGGGCUGUGCUGUGCGCUGCAGGAGGUGGAGCAGCCUCUCUGGGCCCCACACACCAGGAGCCAGGAGCAGCCCCACCCAGGGUGAGAGAGCCCCCUGGACAGACAGCACGGGUCGAUGACAGAGAGAUAGAUGGACAGCCAGAAUUGGUAGAUGAUAGACAGAUGAUAGAAUUGAUAGAUGACAGACCCCGAUUAGUGGAUUAAUCCACUUCAGCUGGGUGGUUCCUGAUUUUCUUGUACUGACCCCACAAACCAGGAGUGGGGGACACCCCGUCUCUCUGUUUGCUCUCUUCGUCUCUCGUCUCUCCGUCUUAUCUCUGUCACCAUCUCCCCGUGCCUGCGUCUCUCACAUCUCUCCUCCUCUCGUCUCUCAUCUCUGUCUCUGUCUCACCCCCCCACACCCACUAGCUCAGGGCUGGAGGGUGGUCAGGGGACCCUCUCCUGCAGGACUCCUCCCCUGGAGGUGACGUUGCAGCCACAGGAGGAGCGCACACCCCAGGAACGCCCUGUCCUCAUCCCCGGCCGCCCUGAGGCUGCAGCCCCCAGCACUCAGUGUGAACCUCACCCACUACCACCCACUCGGGUGCUCCCUGCUCCCCGUGGUGCCCGAGGCUCCGUCCCAUGGACACAGUGAAUUUAAAAGGCUCAGGCUCCACUGGGCGUGGUACCUGCCUGUCAUCCUAGAAGCUCAGGAGGCUGAGGCAGGAGGCUCACAUGUUCAAAGCCAGCCUCCGCCAAAGCGAGGCCCUGAGCAGCUCAGGGAGACCCUGUGUCUCAAUAAAAUGCAAAACAGGGCUGGGGACGGGGCUCAGGGGUCGAGGGCCCCUGAGUUCAGUCCCUGGGACCAAAAAAAAAGGGGGGGGGCUCAGCCUCCGGACUCGGGGAGAGGACAGGAAUGGCCUCUGCCCUGGAGCCUCCACAGGGGACCUGGCUGCGAUUGCUGGAUUUUAGCUCAGUAGGACCCACUGCAGACUUCGUUCCCUUGGUCCCCACAGCCUUGAGGAGCCCAGACAGCUAGACAGGGCCCCGCCUGCGCCCGCGGCCCAGGUGCCAACCGC
Molecule: long non-coding RNA, 1217 nt
Filed under: Marmota monax (woodchuck)
Lineage: Eukaryota; Metazoa; Chordata; Mammalia; Rodentia; Sciuridae
Source: RNAcentral